Molecule: non-coding RNA, 3669 nt
Organism: Vigna umbellata (rice bean)
Lineage: Eukaryota; Viridiplantae; Streptophyta; Magnoliopsida; Fabales; Fabaceae
Source: RefSeq, a predicted model, not a curated record
UUUUAUGAUUUUCCAAUAUCACACAUGCUUGGAUAUUUAUCAGUGCUGUACAUUUUUUUAGCUUAAUUAGCAUUCAAUUGCACUGAACUACAUUUUUAUUUAUUUAUUUCACUUUUAAAUUGUAUUGGACUACCACUACUCACAAAAGUUGGCAUAAGAAAAGAAGAUAUUUUCUGUCAGGCCAUUAGGUGACCUGGCACAGUGAGAGUCUUCUGAAAUCUUGGUGAUCCAAUGGCCAGUGCAAAGGUGUGACUAGGGUUACUCAUAGAAUUCUGUUCUUGAGUACUUGUUUAAAUUCUGUGAACAAUGGCCUAGAGAGAGAUGCAGUGAUCUGAAUUUCUUUUGGAGCUUUGGUGUAUUUCACUUUUCCAGGUAUUUGGAUUAGAUAAUACUUUGAUGAUACCUGGGGAGUGGAUGAAUUGGAUUUCGGUUGCUAAGUGGUAGUUUGUAUUUAACUACUUGUAUUGUUCACUGGUUUGUAAUUUUAUGUGAAAUGCACUUUGAUUUGUUCUAUGCAACUGAUUUCGUAGGCAAUAGUUUUUUGUUGGCUCUCAUUUGAUUGAUGCAAAAGCAUCAUGGCCAUUUUUGCAUUUACGAUUUGUUCUUAUUAUUGUCUUAUUUCAUUGACUUUGAACAUGCCACGAAAGUUGUGACUGUUCAUGUAAAUAAAUGGCUUGUGAGGCCCCAUUUGGAAUUAACCUGGUUUUAUUCGGUGCAUUGUUGGCCUAGUAUAUACUUGCUUCAUUAUGCAUGGUGAAUCAAGAACAAAUGUAUUCCAUCCUUUUGUUCCACACUUUUCGGUGGCAUUAAAGUAUAGUAUUUAUUCAAUUUAUCUUCUAAUUUAUUUUUAGAAUUAUCUUCACGUAAAAUAGAACUCAUUCCGAUGUGAUAUAAAUCCAAAUACCAUGUACCCAUUCAACGUUUUGGAUAAUCGUGUUAUUGGUGUGCUUCUCUUGAAACAAAUUACUGGCUUUAUUGAGGAUUUAUUUUGGUUGGAGAAUUCGGUUGAUCAAUUUUAGUGAAUAUUUUUCAACAAUUUUUGAUAAUUUUCUAUCUGAUUUUUCUAUUCAUGAGGUUUGACAAGGAUAUCGAUUUCACAUUGUGGGUGUAGAUUGCGGAUUUGGAUUAUUUGCAUUGAUAAACUAGUGUUGAUUUAUUCUUAGUUUGAGGCAUUUAAUUUCAGUUAACUCAUGAUAACCAGUACAAAAACCCAACAUUGAAUUUUGGAAUGGUCCUUCCAAAAAUAAUAAAGAAUGAAUGGUACGAUUAAUAUUGAGGUGGUUUUAGUCAUUUGUGUUGUUUGUCUUAAACCAUGUGCACCCAAGUUUUCUGAGGAGAAAUGAUUUAAGAUUUUUGCAGUGUAAAUUGAAUAUGUAAAUAUUGGAUGGUCCUUGUUAGCUUAGAGAGGCAACUAUGCUAUUUAGAUUAUGUCAUUACUCUGUAAAACUUGUAUUGAAAGUCAACACUUUCUUCAGCUUCUAUCAAAUAGAAAGACAAUCAAAUAACAUGGUUGAGGUGAACAAAUUUUCACCUACUUUGUUAUUUAGAAAUUGAAAACUCAAAUGAAGCUAUUAUUAACAAAUCUGAUAUAUGAUCAAUGAAUUGUUGAACGCUGGAUCAAUUUCGAUUGUAUAUAGAGUUUAAUUUAGUUUAGGCCUAAGAGUACCAGUGAAAGAGAACUUCAUAAUUAGUUGGAUUAAAAUUGGAAAACUUCUACUGUUCAACUAUUAUAAAACAUGUCAUUCUUCAGUACUUGUAAGAGUUGUUGUUUCUUACUGGAUAUCUAGCUAGCAGCAUUCCCAGGACAACUUGGAUUCCAUUCAUAUACGAAUACAUAACCUGAGUUUUGAAAAUUGAGGUUAGAGAUUCUGUUUUUGUGAAGCUAAAGUCUAUACAUUUCUUAGAACACUAAAUCCGUGCAUAGUUGUGGUCAAAUGUAAUAAAUAGAUCCACCUAACACAAUGUACAUAGAUCAGUUUUCAACUCAGUGAAUAGUAUUUAUUUAUGUAGAUACUGUUCAUUGAACAUAAUCUGUUUCAUCUUUAUCAAUAUCUUGUCAUAUAGCUGAUAGAUAAUGAUCUGAUAAAUAUACGAGUAGAUGUUACAUCUUUAUGUCUGGUAUUAUAUAAUUAACGGAUAACUAUCUUUUAAAUAUAUGAUUAGAAGUUGGAUCAACAUAUAUGUUUGAAAGAAUAUCUAUUCAAGAAGAUGAUCUUGGACUAACUUUUGUAUUUGAAGAAAUGAAAGUUUACUUCCAAUCAAAAGAUACUCCAAGUUAAAGAAAAAGGGUCUUUUGUUGUUCUCUUAAAUGAUCACAGGGAUGACAUGAGAAGCUACACAAAACUAGGGUGGUGGGGGUGGGCAUGCAUCUAAUAAAGUUCUCAUAUUCCUUGGUUUCUUCACCAUGCAAAGUCACAUCCAACAAUAAGAAUCCUCCAGAAUAUAUAUAUUUUUUCUUCUGAUUUCCCUUAAGUAAAGGACAACAGUGGAACAGUUAUAGAGCUUCCCCUUCUGCACAGAUGCUAGCAUCAUUAAUGCCUAGAGCUGGCAUGCCAUGUCAUGUAGCAUGAACAUUUUCUUUAUAUUCUCAUCAGAUCCUUUUUCUGCAUAAAAACCCCAUUCGUUUGUUUCAUGUCAAGAAAGCCAUUUUUUUGGCUUCUUCACCUCUACCAGUUAGUUACUCACUAAACCCUUAUAAGAGUCCAUGCUUGUUUGUUUCUUUUGUCAAUGUAAAAGCUCUUUCUUCCUCAUUCUAGGAGGGAAUGUUGUCUUCUUCAUUUGGGAAAAAACUGUUCUUGCAGUUAUGGCAGUGAUGGGCUGCAUUUGAUUGGUUAUACUGAAUAACUUGAUUUUCUACCUUGUUUUAUGUGGGAAUCAUAGAUUUCUUUUUCUUAGCCUAUUUGAAUGAUCACUAGCUUCAAAUAAUUCAUCUGAUGUCUUGCAUGUGGGAAUGAGGUCAUGUAAUGCAGCCAAGGAUGACUUGCCGGCAAACUUCUUUUGGCAUUCUUAGUUAAGGUUCUAAAAUUUGGUUGCAGUCACAGUUUUCUUUCAAUCUUUUGAUAUUCUGAUAAAUUAUAGGAAAAUACCACUGAUAUGCAUGAUUUUGAUCACAAUAAGUCUAAACAUUUUGAUGUUUUGGCUGAACUCACAAUUUUAUUUUGAUCUUUGAUAUGGUAGUAAACCACAAGAAGUCCAAAAUCCUUUGAUGUCGUGAUUCAAAUCAUGGUCAAGUUUCACAAUCCUUGACAAACUAGUUGUAUUGGAUAAAUUUCUAAGUAAAAAAAUAUGUUUUUUUUAAAUCAUUGAAAUUAGUUUAUAUACAAGCAAUUUUAUACCAUUUUUUAAUUCUUUAUUUUUUUCUUAAUUUAUCUUUAUUCAAAUAUUCAUUUUGCUUUCUUGGAAAUUCGGCAAGUCUUCUUUGGCUACAUCAAGGUCUUCUUCUCUCAUGCUAGAUUCUUUUGAUGAUUCAUGAAAUCAUGAUUGGACAUAAUCAAUGAUGGUAUCAAGAUUCAAUGGUGUGCAUGGUUUUAAAGUUUAAUCAAGUAUCUUAUUGUUACUGCAGAUCAUAAAAUUGAGUUUAGUGUAAUAUUUUGCAAGCUCCACACCAAAAUAAUUAUUUAUUGUGCCUUUGAUUUUCUUUUUUGUUAUAGUUGUAGUGUUUUAUUUACA